GGUGAGCAACACACAGAGAGGUGACUGCCAUUUCAACACAAAACACUAACAACAGGCCUCAUUCACGAGUGCAUAUGCAGAAAUGUUCUUAACCUCCGCACAAAAUUAGUGUUUGAUUUGUGCACUGAAUUAUUCUAACCCGUCAGGUUUGUGCACGCUACCUGCAGUCGGCACAACUGAAGUAGAAAGGGUUUGUGUCACAGGAGGAAACCACCGUAAUAAUCACACAGUAAUAGACUCUUUGCUUCAGAAAAAUCAAAUGUUUUCCUUAAAAUGACAAAACUUACUUCAAGAGAAAAAUACUCAUCAGUGAGGGUAGCUAUAGCCAGUUUGUUCUGACAGGUGGAAACAAAGUCAGCACCUGGAGAGGCAACUUGCCUGAGGUACAGUUAUAGCAGCUCUGUGCUCACGUCAAACCCUCAAUUCCUUACUGUUCGUUAUUCAAUUCUGAGAAACUUUUUGCUUAUCUUAUUUUGGGCACCUCUGACUAAUGACCAAAAUGAAAUGAGUAGUAAUAAUAAUAAUUCAUAUUAGUAGUGGUCUUCUUCUUUUGGUUGCUCCCUUUAGGGAUUGUCACACUGUAUAAUACACACACCAACUGUCACACAAACCCUCUGCAUGUCCUCCAUCAUUACAUCUAUCAAUCUUCUCUGUAGCCGUCCUCUUUUUCUUCCUGCCUGGCAACUCCAUACUUUACAUCCUUUAUCCAGUGUAUUUGCCAUCUUUCCUCUGCACAUUCAAACCAUCUCAGGCUUCUUCUUCCUUGUCUUCAAACCACUUAACUUGAGCCGUCCCUCUGAUGUACUCAUUUCUAAUCUUGUCCACCAUGGCCACUCCCAUCUUAAAGUAAUGCCACCUCCUGCUCAGCCUUCAAUUUUGUUAGUUAGUGCCACUGUCUCCAAACCAUACAUCAAAGCUAUCAUCUUGUAAACCUUCCGGUCCCUGUGGCUAAAAAAUGAUAUAUAAAAAAUGAUCCCUGACACUGCACCCUGUCUGCACUCUCUUCUCCAGCUCUCUUGUGCACUGUCCAUUCCUUAGGAUGGCUGAGCCCAGGUAUUUAAACUCAUCCACCUUCACAAUCUCGGCUCCUUGUAGUUUCACUCUUACACCUGUGUUCUGUCUUCUACUGACUUUCACUCCUCUUUUCUCCAGAGCAUACCUCCACCUCUCCAGACUAUCGUCCAUCUGCUUUCUACUCUCAGUAAAGAUUACAAUGCCGUCGACAAACAUCACAUCCCACGAAACUCCUACCUGACCUCGGCCUGGACAAAUGGUUUGCAACAACAGGCCAGAAUCUGCAGGUAAAUGAGCCUGCACAUCCUGCUCCAGCACCAAGUGCUUCUUUUCAUUGAGCCAAUGAGAAUAUUGAGUAAAGGUUUUAACCUAAGAGCGGGGCUUGUCCAGGACUGGUAUCCGAUACCUCUCGCAACUGAAUGAAUCAUU
Long non-coding RNA from Oreochromis aureus, 1443 nucleotides. RefSeq lists it as uncharacterized. The transcript is spliced from 3 exons. The record is from RefSeq and is a predicted model, not a curated record. Lineage: Eukaryota; Metazoa; Chordata; Actinopteri; Cichliformes; Cichlidae.